RNAcentral lists this long non-coding RNA (7934 nucleotides) under Mytilus galloprovincialis (Mediterranean mussel). The record is from RNAcentral. Lineage: Eukaryota; Metazoa; Mollusca; Bivalvia; Mytilida; Mytilidae.
GUUUUAGAGUUUGAGAUCCAAAUCACAGAAUGCCUCCCUCUGAAUUGGCUCUUAGACUGCGUGGCAACACUUGCACGAGUAAGUUGCAAUCUUAUUUUGAAUAAAUAUAUAUCAUUCUGCAAAUGUUAUCAUGGUUUACAUUUUAUAAAUUAAUUGUAUUGACAGAGAGUUGUCCAUAAAUUUUGGCAAUCAAUACACAUCCAAACCUCUAGGUUUAUGAUAUGAUGAUAUCAAGAAUACUGGUUUAAACUCUUAUUUAUAGUGAUGGGAACAAUUAUUGCACUUAUAACUAUAAUCCCUUUCACUUUGUCUUUGUCACUGUGUCUAACCACCGGAAAUUAGCGACUCGAUGAAUCUAACAUCCGGCAAAUUGACGGAACAUCAAUAGACAGAAGAAAGAUAGGUUUCUCCUUAUUUUCUUAUUUUUUUAUGAUAUCUGAAGUAUGUAUCAUAUCAAACUAUUUUAUAAUGGUGAGAUGCAAAUUUCUACAACCGUUCUAUAUUGAACUGGAGAAUAAGUCAAAAUGCAUGUCAUAAUGACUAAUUGAUGUGAACUUGCUCGAAAUUGUUUGUUAAUUUCUCUUUAAUUCUUUCACAUCUACCUAUUAAGGAAAGAAAGGUACGGCGAAAUGAUACUGACACAGAGAUGCAAAACUAGUCAGUUAUAACAUCUCAAUUCUUGGUAUUUAUGUUGUAUGGAACAAAAGAAAUGGGUCAUGUUCAAUUAAAAUCAACGGUUUCGGUCAUGUUGUUUACUACAUCAAACCGGUUUCUGUCUAUAUAUAUCACCCGUUUUUUUGUUUUUUUAAACCACACUUUAUGAAAAGCAACGUUAACACGGAUGGAAGAUUGUUUUCGGAGAAUUUAAAUAUUAUUCGAUGUAAUUUAAGUAAACUUGGCGUGUUUAUUUAUUUAAUAGGCAAUUAUGUACUACAAAUUUCUAAUGAAGUCGUAUCAGUUUUCACUGAUCUCAACUAAUUUUAAAUGGCAUAAAAUAACGAAAAUAGCAAACACUGAUAUCUAAUUAUUCUUAGACAUUAACAUUAUGAUAGUUUUUUUAUAUAGGUUUUUGGAGAUACAUCGCAGUUUGUGACCCGCUUUUUUCCCAAGAAACUCUAUUAACGCUUAUUUUUUUUUUAAAACAUCAAUAAAGUAUGCAGAAGUUAGAUUAAAAUUUCUUAAGAAGUGUGUAAAGUUGUAUGCAAUAAUGAUAAAUCAAUUUGAGGAUAUGAAGCGAAUGUUAAAAAAAAAUCACACUCCUGUUCUUUACUUACAAUUCUGUAAUUCAAAAUGAUUUAUUUGAUUUUCACUAAAGGUUACAAAUCGUUUGACCAUUUAAGAAAAACUUUUGUUAAGUUUCCAUGAAAAAUGAUAAGCUUUCAAGUUACGGUGGACAUGUUACGCUGUUUCAGAAAGAUAGACUGAUAGCUAGACGGAGCGGACGGAAAGGAGGAGGACAGACGGGUGUUACAAUGAUAGUCUGUCAAAAUGGACGGGCGAAAAACGCAAACGAAGAUGAAAAAAAAUAGUAAUUAAAUGUCAUAAGUUUAUUAUGAUAGUCGCAAGUCGAUUAUUGUAAAUUUUCGUCUGCUUAUCAUUUUCCUAUCUACCUUUUAUAUAUAUUUUGAGAAAAUGUAUAGAAAUCGAUAAAAGAACGUUGAUAUGCGGCAUUUAUAUAAUAAUAAACAUAAUCCUCACAUAAUCCGAUUUCCCGGUGUGUCCUGUUUUCUCAUUUCUUACAAUAUUUUAAUUCGGUAUACACUUUAUAAGAUAAGUGGCGAAUCUAGAUGACGUAUAGGUUGCACGCCCCGACCCCACCUUCGGUUGCCAAAACUAUAUUGAUUCCUGUAUUUAACGAUUUUGUAAAGCAAAAAAUAAUCAAAAUAUUGUUCGACUCGCUACGCUCGGCGGUAUGUAAAGGUUGUUCGAAAUACGCCCACUUUGAAAUAAACUGAAUCCGUCUGUCCGUAUAUAUUGUCAAAAUAUAUUGACCAACGUCAGUGUACGAUCAUCAUAACACAAUGGCGACAGUACAGACUCGGUUUUUUUAAUAAUGUUAACAAAAUAAUUAUUAUUGAAUUUUAUCGAUGACCUGAGACUAUUAUACUAAUUUGUACAUAGCAGUAUAGUUACAAUUAGUGAUAAAUAAAUUUUAUUUUAAUGCAUGGUAGUUGUAAUCCUACAUUCAUUUUCUAUGUCGAUUAUGCAUGCAUAUACAUUUGUCUUAUUAUCAACGUUUAUCCUUAAGAAGAUUUAUUUUUAACGAUGGUAGAAAAGAUUACAUACAUGGAAUGAUUAGAUUACUUAUAAAGGUGUCCAUUUUUUGUGCGAGAAAAUCACAUAUCAAUUGUGUGUUUCGAUUUUUAAGACCGUAAACUUUAAUUUCAAGUUUAAACAUGUUCAACAUAUUUUCCCAUAACUCAUAUAGAAAACGCAUAUUUAGAGAGCUUUAAUCUCAAUAUGCUGUUAAAAAAGUUCGGAAUGCAAAGUAAAAUUAAAAUAUUUGUGUUCUAUAAGAGUAGGAAUUUGCUUAUUAUUUAUUUGAAUCUGAGACUCAUAUAAAUAAUAAGCCGCUGUCCGGUGAACGAACUUGUUUUCGAACGACCCACAAAACUCAUUUUGAACGCUGAAGUUAAAUAAUCAAUUAUAAUGUAAUGCGAUUAUGAUUUUUUUUAUUUGACCAAACCGGGUUAUGCAUUUUGAAAUCUACGACGAAACCGGGUUGUAUACAUUGACGAAACCGGCCAGUUCCAUUUUGACAUGACCCAUUUCUUUCGUUCCAUACACAGAGUUACAAUUAUUGAGAUGCUCAUAAUAACUAAAUUUGCAAUCUCCGUGUCAAUAUCUAUCUUCCCGUACCUUUCUUUCCGUACAAUGUGAACAAUUUAAAGAGAAAUUAAACAAUUUCGAGGCAAGGUUCACUCAAUUCGUCAUUUUGACGUGCAUUUUUACUUAUUUUUCCAUUAAUAUAGAACGGUUGUAGAAAAUAUUGCAUAUCACAAUAGAAAAUAGUUGUAUGUGUAUUUAUAUUCUUCGAUAUCAUAAAAAAAAUAAGAAAAUAAGGAGAAACCUAGCUUUCUUCUGUCUAUUAAUGUCCGUUUGGUGCGAAUGUUAGAUACAUCGAGUCCGAACAAAUUUUGCGGUUGGUUAGACCAGUUGUUUGUGGAUCGAGUGCUUGCCUUGUAAGUUGUUCGGAUGAUCCUGCUCUUUUUUUAUAAUCUACAACGGGGCUCUCUACAAUGGUCUAUUGGCGGCUUAAGUGUGAGUGCAUUGGAUUGCCAAUCUAUUGAAGCGUGACAGCGUGAAAUCAAAUUAUUGUGCCGUGAAAACAGAAAUGAAGUUGGGACCAGGAUCUACCAAAAAAUGUAGAAUUGCUUAGUCAAGUGAAUUGGGAUCAGGAGAUCUGACAAAACAGUAGAUCCAACCCCCAAUGAGACCCACCUUUUACGUGCAAGAAUAUGACUCUCUCUUAACAAGGUCAGCCGAUUUUUCAUCCCCGUCUGACAGACUAUGACAUUGUUUCUCAAGUUAGCAUACUCGCAAAUUGUUCAAGGAGAGCUGAAAAAUCUCACUUCCUGAAAUUUCUCUCUGGAAUGGGAGUUAACUCAGGAACUUUGUGUUAGUAUUCGAUUGCACUACAUCCAUGAUCUCUCUGACUUUGAAAGUUAAACAUUGAUAAGACGUACCCUACGUCUAGCAGAAGCCUUAGCUCUGUAGGUCCUUUUAUAUUUUUGUGACACUUUGUCGUGUAAAUAAAAAAAAUAGAAUAAGCCAUAGAGUGAGGUUGCCAGCGUUCGAUAGUGAGUACGCCUCUGUUCUAUUUUACGGUACCAUUUCUGCAAUUUCCUGAGGAUUGCAAGAAUAUUAGUAAUAUCCUAGGACAAAUUGAUUUGUCCGAACAUUAUGUUUUAUACUACUUAAAUAAUAUUUAAAGUAUAUAAUAUUUAACAUUAUUAUGGUAUUGCUCAAUAAAAGAGCAAUUUUAACUCAGGAAAUGAUAAGCUGGUCUUAGUUGCAUAUGUCGCAAUAUUAAAAGUACUUAAAUUGUUACAUCGAUGAAACUAUUUUGGUUAAUCGCUAAACGUCAGAACUCAAGUAAAGAGUAAAUACAACUAAAAAUAUGUUUUGACAUACGUUUCUUAAGUACUAUGAAGAUUGCAUUAUGUCUAGUAAUCCUCGGAAAUUGUUCUCAUGGUUCCAUUGUUAUAGUCACAUUUGUCCUGGGUCUGCUUCUUUCUAACAUCUGUUAAUAUAUUCUAUCGAUUAUGAAGAUGUGAUUAUGUAUUGCUUGAUAAGAAUCACAUUUACAACAAAUGAUAAUUGCAAGUUCCCAAAUUCCUAAUAUCACAUUUAUUUUUUUUACUAAUUUUAUUGAAAUUGUUUUUGUGGAGAAUGUAAGCAAUGUAUUGUUGUUUGUUAAUGGAUAGAGCAUCUACGAUUACUAUAAAUCGAUAGAAUAAUUUAGAAAUAUUUCAAUAGAUGACGAACAUUAUAACACGUUAUGUCAAUAAUCGCUGUAGCAGCACUGUUAGUUUAGUCACUAGUGAGAAUUUCAGAUAUUGAAUUGGUCGUUAAGGAUAGGUUUUCUUUUUAUAAAUGCACACUAGAACUAAUUUUUGUUCUAGUAUUUAACGAACUAAAAUUAAAUAAAGUUGCAAGGAACUGUACUUUUGUCUACAUUUACAAUUUGCUUUGUGCCAUUUAAUAGCAAUAAUUGACAACACUAUUUUGUAUGAGUCGAGGUCGUGAAUUAUGAUUUGUUAAAUAAGCAGUGAAACUUUUUCUCACUGAACUUUGUAAUUACAUUGCACACAAUAUAUGAUAAGUAUGUAACUUAUUCUUUUGAUUUUUAUCACCUGAACAACUGAGCAUACAGAAAUAUGAUUUUGUCUAUUUAUUUUAGCCUGAAGUAGCACAAGCAUUAAGAAGGCUGCCAAAAUUUGUUGGCGCAUGUUCAGUUGUCCGUAAAAUGAAAAUCUGGCAAAGAGAACUUCCUUAUACAUGUCGUGACAUAAUACCAUUCACAAAGAGGACAGUAGUUUGUUUCUAUUCAGAAAAAUCUAUGAAUGCAUUAUUGUACACAAAAACAUUGUGAAACAAUGACAUACUUUGAGCGGGAAAUUAAUAUAUUGGGACUUUUAACUAUAGAUUUGUUUGAAGUUUUAUGCAUUUAUAUAAUACAUUUUGUAAUACUAAAUAGUGGGGCAUUAUUUAUUUUUUUCUAUUUUUCUGGUCUGUGCAUCUGAUCAAAUAAAAGACUAAAUGAAUUCAAAAUCAUUGUUACAAUGGUUAAGAUAUAUCUUGCAAGGAGAAAAAUUCUUUUCAACAAUUUUUUUUUAUAUUUAGAGAUUUUUAUGACGACCGCAAAAAAUUUUAAUUUUGAUGGUCGUAUAUUUGCUAUCACCGUUGCGCCGUCGUCUGCGUCGUCGUCGUCGUCGUCCGAAUACUUUAUAGUUUUCGGCACUCUAACUUUAUUAAAACGUGAAGAAAUCAUAUUUAACACAAGGUUAUGACCACCAAAAAGAAGGUUGUGAAUUUGUUAUUUUGGGGAGUGUUGGUCCCAACACUUUUAGGAAUUAGGGGCUCAAAAAGGGCCCAAUAGCAUUUUCUUGCCGUUUUCGCAGUAUAACAACUUUAGUUUAAGUGAAUAGAAAAUGCUAUGAAAUUUUUGACACAAUGUUUAUGACCACAAAAAGGAGGUUGGGAUGUAUGAUUUUGGGAGUGUUUUUGCAACAGUUUAAGGGAAUAAUAAGGGCCAGAGAAAGCGCCAAAUAAGCAUUAUUCUUGUUUUCGCACAAUAAACUUAGUAUCUAAUAAAUUAGAAUAAUGAAAAAAUUUUAAACAAGGUUUGAGUGACCACAAAAGGAAAGUUGGGAUGAUUUUUGAGGAGUUGAGUCACAACAGUUUAUGAAUUUAGGCAGGCCAUAAAAGUGGGCCUCAAAUAGCAUUAUUUUUGGUUUUUUGCACCAUAACUUUGGUAUAAGUGUAAUAGAAAUCUAUGAAAUUAACACAAAGUUUAUGAACCAUAAAAGGAGGUUGGGUUGAUAUUUGUGACAUUUUGGGUCCUAAAGUUUUAGAAGAAAAGGGCCAAAGGGUCCAAAAGUUGGAACUUUGGUGUGUUAUCAAAAAUUGAAUACUUGGGGUUCUUUGAUAUGCCGAAUCUAACUGUGUAUGUAGAUUCUUAAUUUUUGGUUCCGUUUUCAAAUUGGUCUACUUUAAGGUCCAAAGGGUCCAAAUAAACUUAGUUUGAUUUUAACAAAAAUUGAAUCCUUUGGGUUCUUUGAUAUGCUGAAUCUAAAAAUGUACUUAGAUUUUUGAUUAUUGGCCCAGUUUUCAAGUUGGUCCAAAUCAAACUUUGUUGAUUUCAUCAAAAAUUGAAUAAAUGGGUUCUUUGAUAUUUAAAUCUAACUGUGUAUGUAGAUUCUUAAUUUUGGUCCAGUUUUCAAAUUGGUCUACAUUAAGGUCCAAAGGGUCCAAAAUUAACUAAGUUUGAUUUUUUAACAAAAAUUAAAUUCUUGGGCUUAUUUGAUAUGCUUUUAUUUAAAUAUGUAUUUUGAUUUUUGAUUAUGGGCCAGUAUUCAGUUGGUCCAAAUCAGGAUUCCAUUCAAGUAUUGUGCAAUAGCAAGAAAUUUUCAAUUGCACAGUAUUGCACAAUAGCAAGAAAUAUCUAAUUGCACAAUAUUGUGCACUGGUAAUUAAUUUUCAAUUGGAGUUAUCUUUCUUUGUAUAGAAUAUUUGUUGAUAAUAUAUGUUGGAAAUUUGCCAGACAUGACUAGGAUGUCAUUUUCUAUUUUUAUUUGCCAUAUAACUUUAUGUAAAUAACUUCAUUGGAAAUUUGCCAAUAUAAAUGUUGCUGAUGAAGUUUUUUUUAUUGUUUUAUACAAUAAACCAAUGUAUUCACUUUUACUACCAACCAAUCUUUACCAUUCAGUGAUAACAAGCACUUUAUUUUACAUUUUAAUAUUUUAUAGAUGUAUUUAAAAGAGUAGUAUUGUUGCAAACUCCAUUAGAAAUUUGAAUUUGAUUAUCAGUUUUGGAAAAAGGGAAACAGGGAUGUGAAAAAUAAGGGGGGUUUUAAUUUUUCUCAUUUCAGAUUCAUAAAUAAAAGAAAAAUUUCUUCAAACAUUUUUUUGAGAGGAUUAAAUUCAACAGAAUAGUGAAUUGCUGCAAAGGCAAAAAAACUUUAAGUUCAUAUUAGAACCAUUCAUCUGUGUCAGAAACCUAUGCUGUGUCAACUAUUUUAAUUUUAAUUUAAAAAGUUUGAAGAAGAAAUCUUUAAUGAUUUUAUAAAUCUUGACAUUUGUUUGUGUAAAAAAAAACCAUGAAAUGUCAAAAAAUUUGAUCACAAUCCAAAUUCAGAGCUGUAUCACGCUUGAAUGUUUUGUCCAUACUUGCCCCAACUGUUCAGGUUGACUCUGUGCGGUCGUAUAAAGCUGCGCCUGCGGAGCACUGGUUAAGUCUGUACUGAGACUAAAUAUGAGCAUAAGAAAUAAUUACACAAAGAAGUCUUAACACCUGUUGACUGCUGCAUAUUGUACUGUGAGCAGUUAUCUGGUUUAUUUCACUUGAGAAUAGUUGUGAUAUCUUUUUCUAGAUAGAGAAAUAUAUUGAUUAGAACAAUAAGUAUAUAUACCUACAUUGUUUAUUUCAGUUAUUUUCUGGUAAACUUUGAUUCCCCUGUUGAAUCUUUGAAACCAAUCAAACAAGGAUUUAAAGAGCACAGAGAUGUUGUUAGAGCUGGCUUAGAAAGAACUGACCAAGAAUUAAAAAAACCUUGCCUUGAUGGACCUUGUCAGUUUGGUGAAAUUCCAGACCCUUUACACGAAAAGCGUAUUUAUAGACAAAAAGUGACAAAGAGAUUGGCAAAAACAUAUGGAAAAUUCUCAUUAAAUUUAAAGUGGAAAUAAAUGUAAAUAAAUUAGAUUGAGUUUGCA